AUUGAACGCUGGCGGCAUGCCUUACACAUGCAAGUCGAACGGUAACAGGGUGCUUGCACCGCUGACGAGUGGCGAACGGGUGAGUAAUGCGUCGGAACGUGCCGAGUAAUGGGGGAUAACGCAGCGAAAGUUGUGCUAAUACCGCAUACGUACUGAGGUAGAAAGUGGGGGACCUUCGGGCCUCACGCUAUUCGAGCGGCCGACGUCUGAUUAGCUAGUAGGUGAGGUAAAGGCUCACCUAGGCGACGAUCAGUAGCGGGUCUGAGAGGAUGAUCCGCCACACUGGGACUGAGACACGGCCCAGACUCCUACGGGAGGCAGCAGUGGGGAAUUUUGGACAAUGGGCGAAAGCCAGAUCCAGCCAUGCCGCGUGUCUGAAGAAGGCCUUCGGGUUGUAAAGGACUUUUGUCAGGGAGGAAAUCCCUAGUGCUAAUAACACUGGGGGAUGACAGUACCUGAAGAAUAAGCACCGGCUAACUACGUGCCAGCCGCCGCAGUAA
Molecule: ribosomal RNA, 500 nt
Filed under: uncultured bacterium
Lineage: Bacteria
Description: partial 16S ribosomal RNA
Rfam family: Bacterial small subunit ribosomal RNA
Source: RNAcentral